UAGGUUUUAGUUCAUUUAAGAAUUUUCGACUGUUAAUCGAAAGGAAGCAUGUUUAGCUAAAUCUAA
RNAcentral lists this transfer RNA (66 nucleotides) under Macridiscus multifarius. RNAcentral's name for it is "tRNA-Asn". The record is from RNAcentral. Lineage: Eukaryota; Metazoa; Mollusca; Bivalvia; Venerida; Veneridae.